Molecule: ribosomal RNA, 390 nt
Filed under: uncultured bacterium
Lineage: Bacteria
Description: bacterial SSU rRNA
Rfam family: Bacterial small subunit ribosomal RNA
Source: RNAcentral
GACGAACGCUGGCGGCGUGCCUAACACAUGCAAGUCGAACGGAGCACCUUCGGGUGCUUAGUGGCGAACGGGUGAGUAACGCGUGAGAAACCUGCCUUUCAGUGGGGGACAACAGUUGGAAACGACUGCUAAUACCGCAUAAUGUCAUUUGGGGGCAUCCUCGAAUGACCAAAGAUUUAUUGCUGAAAGAUGGUCUCGCGUCUGAUUAGCUAGUUGGUGAGGUAACGGCUCACCAAGGCGACGAUCAGUAGCCGGUCUGAGAGGAUGAACGGCCACAUUGGGACUGAGAUACGGCCCAGACUCCUACGGGAGCAGCAGUGGGGAAUAUUGGGCAAUGGGCGAAAGCCUGACCCAGCAACGCCGCGUGAAGGAAGAAGGCCUGGUUGUAAC